GUGAACGCUGGCGGUAGGCCUAACACCUGCAAGUCGAACGGCGGCACAGUAAGAGCUUGCUCUUACGGGUGGCGAGUGGCGGACGGGUGAGGAAUACAUCGGAAUCUACUUUUUCGUGGGGGAUAACGUAGGGAAACUUACGCUAAUACCGCAUACGACCUACGGGUGAAAGCAGGGGAUCUUCGGACCUUGCGCGAUUGAAUGAGCCGAUGUCGGAUUAGCUAGUUGGCGGGGUAAAGGCCCACCAAGGCGACGAUCCGUAGCUGGUCUGAGAGGAUGAUCAGCCACACUGGAACUGAGACACGGUCCAGACUCCUACGGGAGGCAGCAGUGGGGAAUAUUGGACAAUGGGCGCAAGCCUGAUCCAGCCAUACCGCGUAGGUGAAGAAGGCCUUCGGGUUGUAAAGCCCUUUUGUUGGGAAAGAAAAGCAGCAGGUUAAUACCCCGCUGUUCUGACGGUACCCAAAGAAUAAGCACCGGCUAACUUCGUG
Molecule: ribosomal RNA, 491 nt
Filed under: uncultured bacterium
Lineage: Bacteria
Description: partial 16S ribosomal RNA
Rfam family: Bacterial small subunit ribosomal RNA
Source: RNAcentral